This 439-nucleotide ribosomal RNA is filed under the name uncultured bacterium. RNAcentral describes it as "partial 16S ribosomal RNA". It matches the Rfam family "Bacterial small subunit ribosomal RNA", at positions 339 to 795 of the family's 1533-position model. The record is from RNAcentral.
CUACGGGCCGCUCCAGUGAGGAAUAUUGCACAAUGGGGGGAGCCCUGAUGCAGCAACGCCGCGUGGAGGAUGACGCAUUUCGGUGUGUAAACUCCUUUUAUAUGUCAAGAAAAUGACGGUAGCAUAUGAAUAAGCACCGGCUAACUCCGUGCCAGCAGCCGCGGUAAUACGGAGGGUGCAAGCGUUACUCGGAAUCACUGGGCGUAAAGGACGCGUAGGCGGGUUGGAAAGUCAGGUGUGAAAUCCUACAGCUUAACUGUAGAACUGCACUUGAAACUUCUAAUCUAGAGUAUGGGAGGGGGAGAUGGAAUUAGUGGUGUAGGGGUAAGAUCCGUAGAUAUCACUAGGAAUACCUAAAGCGAAGGCGAUCUCCUGGAACAUUACUGACGCUAAGGCGUGAAAGCGUGGGGAGCAAACAGGAUUAGAUACCCGGGUAGUC